RNAcentral lists this ribosomal RNA (253 nucleotides) under uncultured bacterium. Its description in RNAcentral is "partial 16S ribosomal RNA". It matches the Rfam family "Bacterial small subunit ribosomal RNA", at positions 524 to 776 of the family's 1533-position model. The record is from RNAcentral.
UACGUAGGUGGCGAGCGUUGUCCGGAUUUACUGGGCGUAAAGAGCGCGCAGGCGGCUGGUCAAGUCCGAUGUGAAAGCUCCCGGCUUAACUGGGAAAUUGCAUCGGAAACUGAUCGGCUGGAAGGUGGGAGAGGGUAGCGGAAUUCCCGGUGUAGUGGUGAAAUGCGUAGAUAUCGGGAGGAACACCAGUGGCGAAGGCGGAUCUCUGGGCCAUUACUGACGCUGAGGAGCGAAAGCGUGGGGAGCGAACAGG